Molecule: long non-coding RNA, 1193 nt
Organism: Colletes gigas
Lineage: Eukaryota; Metazoa; Arthropoda; Insecta; Hymenoptera; Colletidae
Exons: 2
Source: RefSeq, a predicted model, not a curated record
CAAAAGAGAAAUCAGUAACCGUCGUACACUGAGCCCGACUUUGAUUAUCGUGUCGAAAGUGAACGUGCAAGAAACACGUUUAUGCGAAUGGACUCAUUUUUACCAUUCUCUAAAUAUUUCUCUUAUCCCGUAUAUUCGAUACCGUGGCCAUGUGGAAUUUAAUCGUGUAGUACUCGAUCGAAAUUAGUUAAAAGAAAGUGUACGGUUCUACACGCGUAAAGGCGAUAAUGUUGCCAAUGUUAGAAUCUUUCGGACUCAUUCUUGUUGUGACAUUUUUGGUUGCUUACUACUUAACGUCAUGCAUCGACUUGUAGCAGCAACGAGACAGAGAGGAGCUAAAAUCUGUUUCUCAUUUGAGUAAUUUUAAGGAUGUGUUUCUCGGGAAGGCGUCGAUGAGUGAUUAUUUCUUCAAGUAUGUACCAAGACGAAACGAUAGUGCGUACAUUUGGAAGAAACAUUGGUCCUUCUUUUAACUUCGAAGGACAUAGAUCCGAUAUCAAAUGAUUUUAUCAAAGAUUUCUCCGUCAACACGGAUAGACCACUGGGUCCUCCGGAAGAGAAAUCCAUCACACCAAAAUUCGCUCUCAAGAAUAAGGCAGUACAAUUAAUUCUCAACUCACUUGCAAGGAUAGACUGAAAUCUCAGUUUGCAAGAAGAAGCACCAGGGACCAGGAAAUUCGCGAUGCUAGGAAGUACAUAUUCCUAUGCUUGCAAUUCUCUUUCAACUAGGCAACGCAGAUGUAUCUGUACAUAAAAGAUGCAAACUUACGAGAUUUCGAACCAUUACACACGCAUUAAACGUACGAUUCAAUUUCUGAAACAGUCAUGCAAGUAUUACAUUCGACAAACGGAGAUAAGAAAUUUUCCAUGAGCAAUCGAUAGAAGAUUUACUGUGUAUAUUUCAUGUAUUACGUUUACUCAAUAUAAAAUGACCUUAUCUAAAAUUGAUGAAAUUAAUCUUCUCGAUCAUCCGCAUUAGCAGAUUUGUACAGUUGUUAUCAAUAUUCUCUUAAGUCUAUGGAAUCGUGACAAAGAGAGGUGAAAUUUUCGUUACGACAGUGAAAAAAAUGGAAAACGAUUAAAAGUACAUUGAGUAAGACAAGCAAUUGGCGCAACGACAUACCUGUAAUAUGCAAUAACAAUUUUUUUUGUAAUGAAACUGUAUAUUAUUACAAUAAAUGCAUUCCUUUGAA